RNA transcript from Xenopus laevis (African clawed frog), 602 nucleotides. It is a transcript of the gene named sperm-specific basic nuclear protein like, with no coding region annotated. The record is from RefSeq and is a predicted model, not a curated record. The transcript is spliced from 2 exons. NCBI's taxonomy places the organism in Eukaryota, Metazoa, Chordata, Amphibia, Anura, Pipidae.
UAUGCCCUUGACUCCUUACUGGCAAGACCAAGUGCUUCCCCCCACGUUUGGUUCAGUCCAGUAUUAACACUUUGGUCCCAUGUGACUUUAGUGGGGGGGUGACAUCUUCAACGGACAAUUGGCAGAACCGUUACAGAGGAGAGGGAUCCUGCAAUUACCAGCAAAGCAUUUCCAGCUUCUCCCACAGACCCAGAAGUUCUGCUGCUUCUUUGUCAGAACCGAACCCCAGAAAAUGAGCAAAAUGAGAGGCGGGUCCAGAAGAACCAGGGCCAGGAGGACAAUGGGCAACCGGAGAGGAAGGCGCAGCCAAACUGCAGCUCACCGUAACCGCGCUCAGCGCCGUAGCAGGAGAACCGGUACCGCUAGACGGGCCAGAACCAGUACUAGAAGGCGCAGAACCAGUACCGCUGAAUUAACUAGAAUGGUGUCAAGAGCCUAUGGCUCAGAAUAUCGCAGUUAAACCCACCCAGGAGAGCGCGGGAUCCCCACUCCCAUGAGCCAUCAGACACUGUGGUUUCUGUUCCGAAGCAUCCGAAAAUCCACAUCAAGAAGUCUCCUCUGUUCCCUACCAAAUAGCACAAAUAAAACUGACAGCAAAAGCA